UACGUAGGGCGCGAGCGUUGUCCGGAAUCAUUGGGCGUAAAGAGCUCGUAGGCGGCCUGUCGCGUCCGCUGUGAAAUCCCGGGGCUUAACCCCGGGCGUGCAGUGGAUACGGGCUGGCUGGAGGCAGGCAGGGGAGAACGGAAUUCCUGGUGUAGCGGUGAAAUGCGCAGAUAUCAGGAGGAACACCGGUGGCGAAGGCGGUUCUCUGGGCCUGUUCUGACGCUGAGGAGCGAAAGCGUGGGGAG
Molecule: ribosomal RNA, 245 nt
Filed under: uncultured bacterium
Lineage: Bacteria
Description: partial 16S ribosomal RNA
Rfam family: Bacterial small subunit ribosomal RNA
Source: RNAcentral